UGCAAGUCGAACGCUUCUUUCCUCCCGAGUGCUUGCACUCAAUUGGAAAGAGGAGUGGCGGACGGGUGAGUAACACGUGGGUAACCUACCCAUCAGAGGGGGAUAACACUUGGAAACAGGUGCUAAUACCGCAUAACAGUUUAUGCCGCAUGGCAUAAGAGUGAAAGGCGCUUUCGGGUGUCGCUGAUGGAUGGACCCGCGGUGCAUUAGCUAGUUGGUGAGGUAACGGCUCACCAAGGCCACGAUGCAUAGCCGACCUGAGAGGGUGAUCGGCCACACUGGGACUGAGACACGGCCCAGACUCCUACGGGAGGCAGCAGUAGGGAAUCUUCGGCAAUGGACGAAAGUCUGACCGAGCAACGCCGCGUGAGUGAAGAAGGUUUUCGGAUCGUAAAACUCUGUUGUUAGAGAAGAACAAGGACGUUAGUAACUGAACGUCCCCUGACGGUAUCUAACCAGAAAGCCACGGCUAACUACG
Molecule: ribosomal RNA, 478 nt
Filed under: Enterococcus faecalis
Lineage: Bacteria; Bacillati; Bacillota; Bacilli; Lactobacillales; Enterococcaceae
Description: bacterial SSU rRNA
Rfam family: Bacterial small subunit ribosomal RNA
Source: RNAcentral